This 777-nucleotide ribosomal RNA is filed under the name uncultured Neocallimastigales. RNAcentral's name for it is "partial large subunit ribosomal RNA". It matches the Rfam family "Eukaryotic large subunit ribosomal RNA", at positions 24 to 631 of the family's 3401-position model. The record is from RNAcentral. Lineage: Eukaryota; Fungi; Neocallimastigomycota; Neocallimastigomycetes; Neocallimastigales.
UUAUGUGAUCGUCUCUCGCAUAUCAAUAAGCGGAGGAAAAGAAACUAACAAGGAUUCCCCUAGUAACGGCGAGUGAAGCGGGAAGAGCUCAAAUUUGAAAUCUUAAAGGGUUUCCCUUUACGAAUUGUAGUUUAAAGAAGUGUUUUCUGUUGAGGUUUUGGUAAAAGUUCUUUGGAAUAGGACAUCAUAGAGGGUGAGAAUCCCGUAUUUGACCUUUACUUUCAACUUUGUGAUACACUUUCAAAGAGUCGGAUUGUUUGGAAAUGCAGUCCAAAAUGGGUGGUAAAUUUCAUCUAAAGCUAAAUAUUGGCGAGAGACCGAUAGCGAACAAGUACCGUGAGGGAAAGAUGAAAAGAACUUUGAAAAGAGAGUUAAACAGUACGUGAAAUUGUCAAAAGGGAAGCGUUUGACACCAGUGUUGUUUUUCUGAAAAUCAAUUAAAGAACUGUUUAUGCUAAGUUGUUUAGACUUUAUCAGCUAUCUGCUUAGUUUUGAGCUUUUCUUUAAUGCACUUUUCAGUUAACAAGUCAACAUCAAUUUCUUUUGCUGUAAAAAAGCUUGAGGAAGGUGGCUUGAGAUUCGUCUUAAGUGUUUAUAGCCUCUUGCCUAUGCAGUCGGAGAGAUUGAGGUCUGCAGCGUAGAUCCUUCGGGGCUAAAUGCAUUUGUGCUAAGUUAUAGGCAUUUUCAUAGACAACUUGUUGACUAUGAUUUGUCUUGUAGCUUACUCGCUUAUGUUAUUUUACCUACGCUUAGGAUGUUGAUCUACAGAGCGAGAGU